GAARCACAGGAAGCACAAGGCSAAGCAGCAGAAGAAGAGUCGGGAGGAGGAGUCCAGCAGCUCWGAGGACGGCGAAGGCGUUCAGCCGUCCACAGGUGACCUGCUGAGAAGGCUGAAGAGCAUCCGGACCCCGAACACCUGGUGACCCGCAGAGCCUCUCUUCUUCUGCUGUCUAAUAAACACCUGAAUCAUCUGA
Non-coding RNA from Poecilia reticulata (guppy), 196 nucleotides. The record is from RefSeq and is a predicted model, not a curated record. Lineage: Eukaryota; Metazoa; Chordata; Actinopteri; Cyprinodontiformes; Poeciliidae.